Molecule: ribosomal RNA, 155 nt
Filed under: uncultured bacterium
Lineage: Bacteria
Description: partial 16S ribosomal RNA
Source: RNAcentral
UGUGAGCAUGACAGGGCGCAGUCUGAUGCAGCAAUGCCGCGUGAGUGAUGAAGGCCUUCGGGUUGUAAAGCUCUUUUACUAGGGAAGAAAAUAUCUGUACCUAUAUAAGGUGGACCGGACCGGUUCAUUCCAGCCCCCCCGCCACUGUAAUAUGC